Molecule: ribosomal RNA, 908 nt
Filed under: Mammaliicoccus sciuri
Lineage: Bacteria; Bacillati; Bacillota; Bacilli; Caryophanales; Staphylococcaceae
Description: bacterial SSU rRNA
Rfam family: Bacterial small subunit ribosomal RNA
Source: RNAcentral
UACUUUCUUCGAAUUUGUUAGCGGCGGACGGGUGAGUAACACGUGGGUAACCUACCUAUAAGACUGGGAUAACUCCGGGAAACCGGGGCUAAUACCGGAUAAUAUUUUGAACCGCAUGGUUCAAUAGUGAAAGACGGUUUCGGCUGUCACUUAUAGAUGGACCCGCGCCGUAUUAGCUAGUUGGUAAGGUAACGGCUUACCAAGGCGACGAUACGUAGCCGACCUGAGAGGGUGAUCGGCCACACUGGAACUGAGACACGGUCCAGACUCCUACGGGAGGCAGCAGUAGGGAAUCUUCCGCAAUGGGCGAAAGCCUGACGGAGCAACGCCGCGUGAGUGAUGAAGGUCUUCGGAUCGUAAAACUCUGUUGUUAGGGAAGAACAAAUUUGUUAGUAACUGAACAAGUCUUGACGGUACCUAACCAGAAAGCCACGGCUAACUACGUGCCAGCAGCCGCGGUAAUACGUAGGUGGCAAGCGUUAUCCGGAAUUAUUGGGCGUAAAGCGCGCGUAGGCGGUUUCUUAAGUCUGAUGUGAAAGCCCACGGCUCAACCGUGGAGGGUCAUUGGAAACUGGGAAACUUGAGUGCAGAAGAGGAGAGUGGAAUUCCAUGUGUAGCGGUGAAAUGCGCAGAGAUAUGGAGGAACACCAGUGGCGAAGGCGGCUCUCUGGUCUGUAACUGACGCUGAUGUGCGAAAGCGUGGGGAUCAAACAGGAUUAGAUACCCUGGUAGUCCACGCCGUAAACGAUGAGUGCUAAGUGUUANGGGGUUUCCGCCCCUUAGUGCUGCAGCUAACGCAUUAAGCACUCCGCCUNGGGAGUACGACCGCAAGNUUGAAACUCAANGGAAUUGACGGGACCCGCACAAGCGGUGNAGCAUGUGGUUUANUUCGAAGCANCGCGAAGAAC